This 636-nucleotide ribosomal RNA is filed under the name Triticum aestivum (bread wheat). RNAcentral describes it as "partial small subunit ribosomal RNA". The record is from RNAcentral. Lineage: Eukaryota; Viridiplantae; Streptophyta; Magnoliopsida; Poales; Poaceae.
AUGCAUCCGCCAAUGGGUGGAGUCGGGCGCUGGCGGCAGGUAUGGGGUCUCGGCCCAGUCGACGAGGAAGUCGGCCAGUGCUUGCGACUUGAUGGAGGUGCGGGGCUGGUAGUAGAUGGUGUAGGGGGCCAAUUCUAUGGCCCAUUUGGCCACUCGGCCAGAAGCAUCUCGGCUCCCAAUGAUCUCGGCCAGCGGGGCUGUGCAAACCACCGUAAUUGGAUGUUCUUGAAAGUAAGGCUUCAACUUCUUGGCGGCAAAGUGCAUGCCAUAGCACAUCUUCUGGUAGUGGGGGUAGUUCUGCUUGGAGGUCGACAGUACCUCGCUCAGGUAAUACACCGGUCUCUGGACAGGGAGCACCUUGCCUUCCUCCUUGCGCUCGACUACAAUCACUGUGCUGACUACCCUGCUGGUGGCGGCAAUGUACAGGAGCAUGGGCUCUUUAGGAGUCGGAGCCGCCAGCACAGGGGGAGUAGUCAACAUCUUCUUCAGCUGGUGAAAUGCUUCAUCCGCCUUGUGGUUCUACUCAAAAAAGGUGGUCUUCUUCAUCAGUUGGUACAAACGGAGAGCUUUCUCACCCAACCGACUAAUGAAUCGGCUGAUGGACGCCAAACAGCCGGUGAACUUCUGCACAUCUAA